AUGGCGAGCUCGCUCUUCAUCGUCGGCGAGAUUGGAGUAAACGAUUACCUCGUCGCCUUUGCCGGGAACACCACCGUCGAGGAGGCGCGGGCCUUCGUGCCGCACAUCGUCGGCGCCGUCCGUUCAGUCGUGACCGAGGUGAUCGCCGCCGGAGCGAGGACCGUGCUGGUUCCGGGGAUGAUACCGCUCGGCUGCGAGCCACAGCUUCUCGCCCUCGACCAAAGCAGCGACCACGACCCGGCGUCCGGCUGCAUCAAGCCACUCAACGACCUCGCCGAGCUGCACAACCGCGCGCUAAACGGCAUGCUCCGAGAGCUCCGGCGAGCCAACCCGCGGACGGCCAUCCUCUACGCCGACCUCUACGGCGCCGUCGCCGACCUCAUCGCGUCGCCCCGGAAAUACGGGUUUAGGGACAAGCCGCUGGCGGCGUGCUGCGGCGGGAGCGGCGCGUACAACUUCAACAUGACGGCGUUCUGCGGCGCGGCCGGGACGGCGGCGUGCGCCGACCCGUCCGAGUACGUGUCCUGGGAUGGGGUGCACUUCACGGAGGCCGCCAAUAGGCACACGGCCUGCGCCACGUUGAAGGCCAACUCGCCUGCUUUGCUCGACUCGUGGACGGCGGAGGCGAGACGAAGGAUUGGGUGCACCUAA
Molecule: ribosomal RNA, 651 nt
Filed under: Triticum aestivum (bread wheat)
Lineage: Eukaryota; Viridiplantae; Streptophyta; Magnoliopsida; Poales; Poaceae
Description: partial small subunit ribosomal RNA
Source: RNAcentral